CCUACGGGUGGCUGCAGUGGGGAAUAUUGGACAAUGGGGGCAACCCUGAUCCAGCCAUGCCGCGUGUGUGAAGAAGGCCCUCGGGUUGUAAAGCACUUUCAGUGAGGAAGAACGCCUGGUGGUUAAUACCCAUCAGGAAAGACAUCACUCACAGAAGAAGCACCGGCUAACUCCGUGCCAGCAGCCGCGGUAAUACGGAGGGUGCGAGCGUUAAUCGGAAUUACUGGGCGUAAAGCGCGCGUAGGUGGUUUGAUAAGCCGGUUGUGAAAGCCCCGGGCUCAACCUGGGAACGGCAUCCGGAACUGUCAAGCUAGAGUGCAGGAGAGGAAGGUAGAAUUCCCGGUGUAGCGGUGAAAUGCGUAGAGAUCGGGAGGAAUACCAGUGGCGAAGGCGGCCUUCUGGACUGACACUGACACUGAGGUGCGAAAGCGUGGGUAGCAAACAGGAUUAGAUACCCGAGUAGUC
RNAcentral lists this ribosomal RNA (465 nucleotides) under Vreelandella stevensii. RNAcentral's name for it is "partial 16S ribosomal RNA". It matches the Rfam family "Bacterial small subunit ribosomal RNA", at positions 338 to 795 of the family's 1533-position model. The record is from RNAcentral. Lineage: Bacteria; Pseudomonadati; Pseudomonadota; Gammaproteobacteria; Oceanospirillales; Halomonadaceae.